This 242-nucleotide long non-coding RNA is filed under the name Panax ginseng (ginseng). Its description in RNAcentral is "long non-coding RNA (PGIN_LNC009097)". The record is from RNAcentral. Lineage: Eukaryota; Viridiplantae; Streptophyta; Magnoliopsida; Apiales; Araliaceae.
GCAUGAAGGGAGCGGCAGAUGAAGGAUAGCAUGAAGGGAGCGGCAGAUGGUUAAAUAGAGGAUGAGGCUGCCGCUACAAACUGUAGCGGCAAGGCUUUGGCUUCCGUGCAGUCAAUUGUUGCAGUCCGUGUAGUUGCAGCAGUUGGCCUGCCGCAUGAGCCUGUAGCGGCAGGUUAUGAUAUUUUCCAACAUAAAUCAGGGACAUAUUAGUAACUUCGCAAUAAUUUAUUUUUUAAAUUGGC